RNAcentral lists this transfer RNA (90 nucleotides) under Citrobacter freundii. RNAcentral describes it as "tRNA-Asp(gtc)". RNAcentral also lists the same sequence under 2 other names. The record is from RNAcentral. Lineage: Bacteria; Pseudomonadati; Pseudomonadota; Gammaproteobacteria; Enterobacterales; Enterobacteriaceae.
UAUCUGGGGGCCGCGCUGGCGGGUUGGCCGCUGUCGUUGGUCAUAGAACAUUACGGCUGGUCGGGAAUGUUCAGUUUGCUCUCGGUUGCC